UACGGAAGGUCCUAGCGUUGUUCGGAAUUACUGGGCGUAAAGCGCAUGUAGGCGGAACAAAAAGUUAGAAGUGAAAUCCCUGGGCUCAACCUAGGAAUUGCUUUUAAAACUUUUGUUCUGGAAUUCAGGAGAGGAAAAUGGAAUUUCCAGUGUAGAGGUGAAAUUCGUAGAUAUUGGAAGGAACACCAGUGGCGAAGGCGAUUUUCUGGACUGAUAUUGACGCUGAGAUGCGAAGGCAUGGGUAGCAAACGGG
Molecule: ribosomal RNA, 253 nt
Filed under: uncultured bacterium
Lineage: Bacteria
Description: partial 16S ribosomal RNA
Rfam family: Bacterial small subunit ribosomal RNA
Source: RNAcentral